Molecule: ribosomal RNA, 229 nt
Filed under: uncultured bacterium
Lineage: Bacteria
Description: partial 16S ribosomal RNA
Rfam family: Bacterial small subunit ribosomal RNA
Source: RNAcentral
CUCGUAGGCGGCUCUUCAAGUCGGUUGUAAAAUCUCCCGGCUCAACUGGGAGGCACCAUCCGAUACUGUUGAGCUCGAGGGCAGCAGAGGGAGGUAGAAUUCCCGGUGUAGUGGUGGAAUGCGUAGAUAUCGGGAGGAAUACCAGUGGCGAAAGCGGCCUCCUGGGCUGUUUCUGACGCUGAUGCCCGAAAGCGUGGGGAGCAAACAGGAUUAGAUACCCUGGUAGUCC